This is a long non-coding RNA of Passer domesticus (house sparrow), 3952 nucleotides long. RefSeq lists it as uncharacterized. The transcript is spliced from 2 exons. The record is from RefSeq and is a predicted model, not a curated record. Lineage: Eukaryota; Metazoa; Chordata; Aves; Passeriformes; Passeridae.
UUGAUGUAAUGAGCACAUGUUUUCUGGAACUGUGGUACCCUGGGAGCUGCCUCCUUCCCAGUCUUCUGGCAGCUCCGCUCAUGGGCUUGGAUGAACCUGACUAAAGGAUGGCGGCCUGAAAGUUGUCUCAGCCUUUUGCUUCUGUGUACCCAGUGCACCACAGCAGGAUAUGAGUCAGGAGAAAAGGUGAAGCAUGUCCUGAUUAGUUAGGUGCUCAGAAGCACCUAAUUUAGGUGCUGCUGAUCUACCUUAGAAAAGCAAGGGUAGAAUAUCACAUGGGAACAGCAUGGAUGGCUUGAUGCUAAUUUCUCCAGCUCGGACUCUUUCCUCUUCUUGCAUUGUUCUUUUUGCUGCAGAUGGGUGUUUGGCUGGAUUUCCAAGCAAGCCACAGCCCCAGGGUUGCUGCAGGACACGCCAGGCAUUCACACCUUGGAGAAGGAGCCAGCUGGCACCCGCUCGCCUCCAGCGCCUGCACACCUGGGUGGAACUGGGCAUAAGGUACGGCUGGCUGGCUGCUGAAACUGUGCCCAGAAAUAGAAGAAAUUCCUGUCCUCUGCCCUCCAGACUCUCACCUUGAGCUGUGCUGGAUGCCUGCUAGGUCCAGAGGAGGAUCCUGCUACAGAAAUGGCAGGGCUGCCAGAAUGCCAGGCAGAGGAGCACCACGUAGGAGCUACGUGAAAGAGAUGACAGAUUAUUUGCUCAGGUAUCACUCCCUUGGCCAAGAGACAUUUUACACCCAGGUAGGUGUGGGCUUCAUCACCUGCCCUGUGAGCACACCAGGAACCAGGUGACUCAUGACAUGAAGGAAAUGUUUGCAGUAAGAGUCAGGAACGUGGCAGCCCUUCUCUCAUGGAUGAAGCGUUUGGGGAUUUCAUGACUGGUACUUUUCAUAGUAAGGAAAACUUUGCAGGCAAUAUUUCCCACAGGUUUUUCCCCCUGUAGAAUUCAAGCAUGGUUAUCUGUGUUGAUGAACGUGUCAAUGAAGCACAAAACUGGGGUGCUUCAAAAGGGACAAGUGUCACCUCCCUGAGGUUUCGCAGUGCCACUUGUAGCCUGGGAUUUGGAAGAGGAGCUGCAGUUACCCCUUGGCUGUGGGAUACCUCCCCACAGCUGAUAUGGGACAGCAGUAAACUUGCGUGCCCCCUUCAGCUCCCUGUAUUCCCUGUCAGCAAUUUCCAUGCCAGGAGCCAAGAUAAGCCCACUUAUCCUGUGGCCAAGGUCAUUACCCAGGUUACAAGACCAGGUUGAAGGACCAUGGACUUUGAGCAGAGGUUACUCUGGGCCCUACCUCAAUGCAGGCAGCUUGUAGGUUUGGAAAGACCUCUAACAGGUAUUUUUUUAAUCUGUUUGACAGACCUUUCUUCUGUUGACUUCUCUAGUCUGAAAGGGAAAACAACCAGUGCUGAAGAGCCCCAUCAUCAGCCAAACCCUGUGUUAUAUUUUAGCAUGAAAGCCUCAUUCAGUUAAUAGCAGGAAGGGUGGGAGGCCCCAUAGUCAAGUGCAAAUGUAGAAACUCUGAGACACCUUCUUUUCCCCACCACUCACCAAAAAGAAAUGAAAUCUCUGGGGUUUUAUUCCAUCAUCAAAUGUUUCUCUGUGCACCAAAAUGAAGCAUAUCAUUUCUGUGCUUGGGUGAAAAGUGAAAAAAAGGGAAAGACUGGUUUCACAUCAAGGUGGUGCUUUUGGUUUUGUCUACCAAAUAGCUCAGAACUUCACAAGGGGCUCUUGCUUCUGCUGUCCUCUCUGCCCGAGGGGAUUUGAGCUGCUCAGAAAAAGACACAAAUUCUGCACAUUUUGGGACACAAAAGGAGUUCUUCCUAUUCUCACCUUGUAGAAAUAACCAUAUAGCAGCAAGUGCCAUUUGCUGUCAUCUCCAUAAGGAGUUAGUUAGCCUUAAUUAGCCCUUUUGGACUCCAGAUGAAAAGACCAGGAACUAGGAUGGACACUUUCUGUGCCAAAAAUGAUCAUUUUUGGGGAAGUUACUGUUUGGCCAAGAAGCACCAUUUCUCUAGGUCACUUCUGUACCUCUGUCUGGCAGGCACACUGAGAGCAGCAGAGCAGUGUGACCAGAGAAGGACAAGGAAAAUGGAACAUCUGCUUUCCUGUAUUGCACCUACUGCAGCUAGUGGUCCUAGCGAGACUGGGAAAGGUUGGAUCGUUUUCUCCUUAAAUGGAAGGGCUGUUUCUAGCAAAAGCCAAAAAUAGACAUUCACCACUUAAAAAAAAAAAAAGUCAGAACUUCAUGCCCAGCACUGCAGAGUUGAGUCUUCUCCCAUGGCUCUCCUCCUAGUCCUCCCAAGGCCGUGCAGCUGCCCUGUGGUGACACCUCGUGGCUCAAGUGACACCUUUGGUUUGUCUUAAGAGAUCACCUCUUCAUAGCACUACGACCCGUGCAAAGUAUUUUAGCUGUCAGUGUGACAGCUGGGAGGAGAGAUACGGAGCCAAAUUUGGAGGUAGGAAGUACAGGGGACAAGUCUAGACCAAUUUUCUAACGAUUUCUUUGGCAUCUCGUGAAUUAUAAGCGGCUGAGUUUCACCCCCACCCUCUCAGAUGCUCUUGACCAGCAGUGCUUGGCUGCUGCUGCCUUCUCCUGCUGCCCGGUGCAGGUGAGUCCAUGAACAGCAACCCAGCCCCACAGAGGGCAGGGAAUGGAGGCACUGGGGAGGUGCUGCCAGGAGUUCACUCAUAGGGAUGUUCUUUGGGAUGGCUGAGAUCAAACGUUUCACCAGAUUUCACUGUUACCAGCCUGGACACUAACAAGAAACUUAAUUUACCCCAUGUCUAGUUUCACAGUGAUGCAGCCAGACAGGAGUAUAACAUACAAGGAGUUUGUAUUAAUGAUUUCUCUGUUUGUGCAACAUGCAGAGAAAUGCCUGGCACCUGACAAGAAAAGCCAACCUCUCCUGUGGCUUUGCAGAGAGAAAUGGGAAUGCCUGGUAACCAUGUCUGACUCCUCUCUCCUCCAGGUAUUUCCAUUCAGUGGUAUCAACAAGCCCUGAACACACAGGGCUUGUUAAUACCACAGGUGGCCUCUGGCUCAUCUCCUUCACCUCUCCUCAGGAAGGCAGAGGUCUUGGUUCUCAGAAGAGGCAGAUGUUUAUUGUGCUCUGCUCUGCACCAGCACCAGACCACAUCAAAGAGAAGUUACCAACAGUGUUUGGUUUUCUCAUGAUGGUGUUUCGUAAUGAGGAGGAUUUAUGCUUUUCUCUUGAAAGCCCACAAAAGUAGCACAGCCAUCUUCACCUGCAUUUAGCUUCUCCAGUUAGGAGAAGUUAAUGGGUCAGGAUUACUUGUGUUGUGGUCUGCUGAUGAAGAGAUGCCUGCAUUGCCUGCUCCACUUGACUCUCAGGCCAGUGUCACCUGGUGCACAGCCAUCCCACCUGGCCAUGCCACCUUUCCAAAGCACUUACAAAGGAAACUGACCACACCCAGAACAGCAUCCUCCAGCCAGGGCUUUCAACUUCUUUUGCAAAUGUCUGCUACAAGAAGCUGAGGGGCAAAGACAGGUCAUCUGGCUGCUGUGGGCUCCUGCAGAGCCAACAGCAGAACUUGCUUCCUGAAUUGUAACUUGAUCUCAAGCAUCUUUUUUACUGGGGUUUGCAGCUGUUUUUACUGGGGAAUGGAAGAGAGGGGCAUCUUUCAAGCAAUGGUAGUGCCAAGUGCAUCCAAAGGUUAUUCUCCUUGUCCUGGAGAAGCCACCUUUGAUAUGGACAUCCCAAUGGCAUGGAGACAGAGGUCCACACUGGUCAGAAUGUAUUUCAUCAAAACCUUCCCUCUCCUGUCCAAGAGUUUCCUGAGCCCCCAGCCCCUUGCAGAAUAGGAUUUCUCUUUGCUUUCUCAUUGACAGGUGUUUAUUCUCCAGGCUUACAGGUUGAGGAGAAGUUUCCCCAGUCUGACUCCCUCUGUACUAGCUCCAUCUGGAGGCUCCAAUAAAACUUGCACUGUAAACCCA